GGCUCCGUAGUUCAAUGGAUAGAAUACUUGAAUUCGGAUCAAGUGGUAGGGGCUCGAUUCCCUUCGGACUA
Molecule: transfer RNA, 71 nt
Filed under: Saprospiraceae bacterium
Lineage: Bacteria; Pseudomonadati; Bacteroidota; Saprospiria; Saprospirales; Saprospiraceae
Description: tRNA-Arg
Rfam family: tRNA
About the family: Transfer RNA (tRNA) molecules are approximately 80 nucleotides in length. Their secondary structure includes four short double-helical elements and three loops (D, anti-codon, and T loops). Further hydrogen bonds mediate the characteristic L-shaped molecular structure. tRNAs have two regions of fundamental functional importance: the anti-codon, which is responsible for specific mRNA codon recognition, and the 3' end, to which the tRNAs corresponding amino acid is attached (by aminoacyl-tRNA synthetases). tRNAs cope with the degeneracy of the genetic code in two manners: having more than one tRNA (with a specific anti-codon) for a particular amino acid; and 'wobble' base-pairing, i.e. permitting non-standard base-pairing at the 3rd anti-codon position.
Source: RNAcentral